Long non-coding RNA from Gorilla gorilla gorilla (western lowland gorilla), 577 nucleotides. RefSeq lists it as uncharacterized. The transcript is spliced from 3 exons. The record is from RefSeq and is a predicted model, not a curated record. NCBI's taxonomy places the organism in Eukaryota, Metazoa, Chordata, Mammalia, Primates, Hominidae.
AACCCGCUGGGGUCUCCUUCCACAGUGUGGAAGCUUUGUUCUUUCAGUCUUUGCAAUAAAUCUUGCUACUGCUCAAGCUUUGGGUCCACACUGCUUUUAUGAGCUGUAAGACUCACCGCGAAGAUCUGCAGCUUCUCUCCUGAAGCCAGUGAGACCACGAGCCCACCAGGAGGAACGAACCACUCCAGACGUGCUGCCUUAAGAGCUGUAACACUCACAGCGAAGGUCUGCAGCUUCACUCCUGAGCCAGCAAGACCAUGAACCCACCAGAAGGAAGAAACUCCGAACACAUCUGAGCAUCGGAAGGAACAAACUCCAGACGUGCCACCUUAAGAGCUGUAACACUCACCGCCAGGGCCGCGGCUUCGUUCUUGAAGUUCCUGGAGAUGGAGCCCUAGCCGAGGACCAUGCCCUUCCCGUUUCCAUAUCAUGUAAAGGGACCAUGCCUUUCUCUACCCAGCACAGCGACCGAAUUUCUUAGCUCCUUAUGCUCCUGAGCUGUGUGGUAUCUGAUUUCCUCAUUUGCUGGCUGGAGGAUGAAAGCAGAGCCAAGUAAGAAGACCUGGAAGUGCCAAAA